UGCAUAUAAUUAGAACUGAUUACAAGCUCAAAAAUGUAGUCGGUGUCAGAUUAUGCCACAUGGAACGCCACAUAUUUACUUGUCUUUGGUUUGUUGUAGACAAUCUAACGAUCCGAAGAUUUCUUAUGUGUCAACAAC
This 138-nucleotide small nucleolar RNA is filed under the name Drosophila persimilis. Its description in RNAcentral is "snoRNA:GL28029". Lineage: Eukaryota; Metazoa; Arthropoda; Insecta; Diptera; Drosophilidae. The record is from RNAcentral.